This 836-nucleotide long non-coding RNA is filed under the name Homo sapiens (human). RNAcentral's name for it is "long intergenic non-protein coding RNA 2327". Lineage: Eukaryota; Metazoa; Chordata; Mammalia; Primates; Hominidae. The record is from RNAcentral.
AGCUGGGACUGCUGGCGCCCGCCACUACGCUCGGCUAAUUUUUUUGUGUUUUUAGUAGAGACGGGCUUUCACCGUGUUGGCCUAGCGGUUCUCCAACUCCUGACCUCAUGAUCCCCCCGCCUCAGCCUCCCAAAGUGCUGGGAUUACAAGCGUGAGCCACCGCGACCCGCCAACACUCUUGACAACAGUGCUGUGCUAAGAACUUGGGGGACUUCAAAAAGUUCACCAGUUCCUGUGUCCAUGGGUGAAAAGAUUUUCUACAUCUUUCCUUGACUAGAAACAGAAGUCCUGAAACAAGAAUAUAACGUCAGGAGGCCAGAGGCUUUGUCCUGCCUAAUGUGUUAUUUCCACACUGAAUAAAAGCACCUGAGUCCUGAAUUCUCCAAACACCACCUCACACAGUUUUGGAAUCUCUUUGUCUUCAUUUCCCAGAAUUUGGAAGAGUUCAUCUAGUAUCUCUGGUCUCAGAGUGAGAACAAUGUCUUCUAUGAUGAGUGGCAAACACAACAAGGCAUUUUAAAAAGGUUGUACAUCUAGCAAUACCUAACAAAAUAGGAAAUCAACUUGAUAAGGACAUUUUCUCCUAAAACUGUUAGAUUUUAUCAUCUGUAUAACAUACAUUUUUUCAUCUCUAUAGUAUGAAAACAUCCAUAUGGAUAUGCAUCAUUGCUUUUCAGGUGUCAAAAUUUGUGGAUAAAUAUAUAGUUUAUAAGAAGCAAAUAAGUGGCAAAUAACAAACUGUGACUAUUAAAGUAAUAUGAAAUUCAAAUUCAAAUAAAAAUACAUGUGUGACUAAUAAAUAAAGCUGAUAGCUCAGGGUUCAAAGUAAGAAAGAA